Molecule: ribosomal RNA, 318 nt
Filed under: Triticum aestivum (bread wheat)
Lineage: Eukaryota; Viridiplantae; Streptophyta; Magnoliopsida; Poales; Poaceae
Description: partial small subunit ribosomal RNA
Source: RNAcentral
AUGCAAGGUAUGGCCUUGGCUAUCCAGCACUCCAACCGGCCAGUGGUCUUGCAGUCGGAUUUUUCGGAAGCUCUGUCCAGUUUGUCAAAUGAUGCUCUGGUUCAUUCGGCGUAUGGCCAGUUAGUGUUAGAGAUUAAGGAGUUGAUGAGUGAGAGGGAGUUUGUACCUCAGAAAAUUAGACGUAGUCAAAAUAGAGUUGCCGAUCGGUUGGCCACCUAUAGCCGGUCCGAACGAGCUACAACAGUGUGGUUGGGCUCGGUUCCACCUUGUAUCGAGGACUUGUGGCCUCUUGACUGUAACUCUACGAAUUUGCAAUAA